RNAcentral lists this ribosomal RNA (505 nucleotides) under uncultured bacterium. Its description in RNAcentral is "bacterial SSU rRNA". It matches the Rfam family "Bacterial small subunit ribosomal RNA", at positions 28 to 507 of the family's 1533-position model. The record is from RNAcentral.
GACGAACGCUGGCGGCGUGCCUAAUACAUGCAAGUGGAACGCAGUUGAUUCACCGGAGCUUGCUCCAUCGAAUUAACUGAGUCGCGAACGGGUGAGUAACGCGUAGGUAACCUGUCUUUUAGCGGGGGAUAACUAUUGGAAACGAUAGCUAAUACCGCAUAAGAUCAGAGGACACAUGUUUUCUGUUUAAAAGAUACAACUGUAUCACUAAGAGAUGGACCUGCGUUGUAUUAGCUAGUUGGUAGGGUAGAGGCCUACCAAGGCGACGAUACAUAGCCGACCUGAGAGGGUGAACGGCCACACUGGGACUGAGACACGGCCCAGACUCCUACGGGAGGCAGCAGUAGGGAAUCUUCGGCAAUGGGGGGAACCCUGACCGAGCAACGCCGCGUGAGUGAAGAAGGUUUUCGGAUCGUAAAGCUCUGUUGUCAGAGACGAACGUAUGUGAGAGUGGAAAGUUCACAUAGUGACGGUAACUGACCAGAAAGGGACGGCUAACUACGUG